This 433-nucleotide ribosomal RNA is filed under the name uncultured bacterium. RNAcentral's name for it is "partial 16S ribosomal RNA". It matches the Rfam family "Bacterial small subunit ribosomal RNA", at positions 29 to 507 of the family's 1533-position model. The record is from RNAcentral.
AACGAACGCUGGCGGCAUGCCUAACACAUGCAAGUCGAACGAGACCUUCGGGUCUUUUGGCGCACGGCUUCGUAACGCGUCGGAACCUGCCCUUAUGUUCGGAAUAACUCUCCGACAGGGGUGCUAAUACCGGAUAAUGUCUUCUGACCAAAGAUUUAUCGCGUUUGGUUGGGCCCGCGUUGGAUUAGCUAUUUGUUAGGGUAAAAGCCUACCAAGGCGCCGAUUCAUAGCUUGUCUGAGAGGAAGAUCAGCCACACUGGGAGUGGGACACGGCCCAGACUCCUACGGGAGGGAGCAGUGGGGAAUAUUGGAACAUGGGGGGAAGCAUGAAGGAGCAAUGACGCGUGAGCGCUGAAGGCCUUAGGGUUGUAAAGCUCAAUUAACCGGGAUGAUAAUGACAGUACCGGGAGAAUAAGCCCCGGCUAACUCCGUG